Molecule: long non-coding RNA, 949 nt
Organism: Pan troglodytes (chimpanzee)
Lineage: Eukaryota; Metazoa; Chordata; Mammalia; Primates; Hominidae
Exons: 4
Source: RefSeq, a predicted model, not a curated record
UGAAGUCAGCUAGGCCAAGAGCCCACUGGAAGGAACCAACUCCGGACACAGCAUGACAUAGUACUGUAUUGGCCACAGCAUCACAAUGAGUCACCAAUGGAUGUCUUCUACCUAAGGAGGACUUCUCCAGGAGGGUUAUGACUCCACAGAAGAGGUGGAAUUUAUCUUCCCCACUCCUUCCUGUCUCCUGUAUACCAAUUGCCAAUGUACACCCCCAGAUAGCCAAAGGCCUCUCGCUUCUGGGUUGCACCAUCUAGCCCCUUGGUGGCUUCUAAGUCUCACUUCUGUCCUCUAUUAAAUGACCUUCCUUAUGGGGUGUUUUGAGGAUUAAACAAGUUAAUGAAUGCAGACAGGGCAUGGUGGCUCACGCCUGUAAUCCUAGCACUUUGGGAGGCUGAGACAGGUGGAUCACCUGAAGUCAGGAGUUCAAGACCAGCCUGGCCAACAUGGUUUCACUACAGAGUGGCAACCCCACUUCAUCUCAGCCAAGAAACUCACGUUCAAGAAAAAACAUCCAAGGCCUGCGGAGAACAGAUCUAACGCCAACACAGUCAAAUUAAACCCUGAAGCCAAAACAUCUAAAAAUAGGCCUGUUUUGUGUAUUCUGGGUCGCUUGCAUUUCCAUAUGAAUUUUAAGAUCAACUUUCCAACUUCUGCAUAGAAAGCAGUGGCUCUCGUCUGGGGUGACUUUGCCUCCCUGGAGAUGUUUGGCAAUAAUAUUUGGAGACAUUUUGGUUCACACAACUGGAGGGCCGUGGAUGCUACUGGCACCUAGUGGUAGAGCCCAGGGAAGCUGCUAAACAUUCUGCACUGAACAGGACAUCCCCACAACAAAUGAAUUAUUAGGUCUAACGUCAAUAGGGUGGAGGUUGAGAAAUCCUGCUAUAAAUCUCGUUUAAAUCCCUGAGGAUGUGGGCUUUUGAAAUAAUAAUAAAUAAUUUUAAUUUGA